This is a long non-coding RNA of Equus caballus (horse), 1484 nucleotides long. Lineage: Eukaryota; Metazoa; Chordata; Mammalia; Perissodactyla; Equidae. The record is from Ensembl.
CGAGAGGGCCAGCGUCCGGACGUCUGUAGGUGUAGGCGGGAGCGGAGGCUGCCGCUCGGGUCAGAAGAGGAUAGACGUUAACUCAUCAAGAAAAAGCAGUGUACCUUACUCAGUGAAAAUGCAAGGUUAAGCCCAGAGAGUCAUAUCCGAGGUGCGCACGUUCAGGUGGUGCUCCCUCUGUGUCCCUUCCUCUCCCUUCUCCAGCGUGUGCAAGGGCUGUUUUCCCAUAGGGAAGGCUUGUCUCCAGCUGGUAUAAGGGGAGUUUUAGGCAGGUGAGUGUAGGAGUUGUAGGGCUGACCAGGUUUCUCAUGACCCCAUUUCUCUUUCCUCCUCCCCAGCUGAACCUUCACAGUUCUUUACCUUCUUCCAGGAGUAGCAGAAAAUGAACAUAGCUCAGGUGAGUUCAGUUUUUAAUAGCUUGCUUGUGUUACAAGGGAUUUUAUAAGGGCUUACGUGUCUCUCCGUCAACAUGGAAGAGUAGAAAUAGAAAUGGAUCAGAUGCAUUCAGAGAAGACACAGAAAUACAGUUGAAGAGCAGAGCAAAGGUGGCAGGUGGGUACAUGCAGGUCCUCUGACAUUGCAGAUGUACUACGUUGGAGUUCCAGGUUUAUUUCUGAGGUUUGUGAUAGCCGUGGCAGGGUAUCAGGCGUGAUAUUUCUUUCAAGGUUAACGUUGGUGAGAAGGUAAAGCAAACUGAUUCCUCAUAGACUAUAAAGACAAUUGAAGGUGAAGAAUAUCUUUGUUGUUUUCAACUACGUGAUUUAGUUAACAGCUUCCAGUAGUAACCCUAAGAUAACAUAGGACGUUGCCUCCACUUGUGCUUCAGUAAAGGUAGAAGAGGUAACGCUGAAGUGAGCUCAGUCAGUACUGUUUUUCACAAACUCCAACACAGGGAUUGCAGGAGACAUUUUUCUGAUGGACCAACUGACUAUCCUUAAGAUUACUCUCCAUAAAUAUUUCGAGUACCCGUGAUUUUCAGGACAGUUUAAAACGGUCAGCCCAGCAGACAGUUUAAAAUUCUGUUCUCCUUCAAGUGUUUCAACACUUUCAGUCACGCUCUAAACCUUUUCAUGAGGCCUUGGUCUCUCUCCCCACUUACCUGUGAUCUCCAGUGACCAGAGACUCGAUUAUGAUCAAAUCCAUUGGGUCUUGCCUGAUCCUUUGCUUACUUGACUUUUCUGUAGCACUUGCCUCUACUUCUCACUCUGUCCUUCUGGAAAGUGUCUCUGUGAGUGUCUGUGACACCUUCCACUGGCUCUGUCCUUCUCCUGCUGAUAUCUUCAUGGAGUCGUCGUCUUUCCCUUGUCCUUGCACAUGGCUCAUCCCCAGUUUCCCUCUUUGGCCCUUUAAUCUCGUCUGUUGUCUUGGAAUGAUUUCAUUUUCUCUCAUUUUUUUCUUUAAACAGCUUUAUUGAGAUUCCGCUCACAUACCAUGCCAUUCACCCAUUUAAAAUGUAGAAUUCAAUGAUUUUUUUAGUGUACCCG